Molecule: microRNA precursor, 69 nt
Filed under: Ovis aries (sheep)
Lineage: Eukaryota; Metazoa; Chordata; Mammalia; Artiodactyla; Bovidae
Description: miRNA (ENSOARG00000025045.1)
Source: RNAcentral
UCCUUGAGGGGACUGAGGUGCGGCGAUGCACAGAUCAUUGCUCCCUCUUCUUCCCACGUCUCCUCAGGA